This 253-nucleotide ribosomal RNA is filed under the name uncultured bacterium. RNAcentral's name for it is "partial 16S ribosomal RNA". It matches the Rfam family "Bacterial small subunit ribosomal RNA", at positions 524 to 776 of the family's 1533-position model. The record is from RNAcentral.
UACGAAGGGGGCUAGCGUUGCUCGGAAUUACUGGGCGUAAAGCGCACGUAGGCGGCUUUCUAAGUCGGGGGUGAAAGCCUGUGGCUCAACCACAGAAUUGCCUUCGAUACUGUAGAGCUUGAGACCGGAAGAGGUAAGUGGAACUGCGAGUGUAGAGGUGAAAUUCGUAGAUAUUCGCAAGAACACCAGUGGCGAAGGCGGCUUACUGGUCCGGUUCUGACGCUGAGGCGCGAAAGCGUGGGGAGCAAACAGG